Molecule: ribosomal RNA, 253 nt
Filed under: uncultured bacterium
Lineage: Bacteria
Description: partial 16S ribosomal RNA
Rfam family: Bacterial small subunit ribosomal RNA
Source: RNAcentral
UACAGAGGUCUCAAGCGUUGUUCGGAUUCAUUGGGCGUAAAGGGUGCGUAGGCGGCGCGGUAAGUCGGGUGUGAAAUCUUGGAGCUUAACUCCGAAACUGCAUUCGAUACUGCCGUGCUUGAGGACUGGAGGGGAGACUGGAAUUUACGGUGUAGCGGUGAAAUGCGUAGAUAUCGUAAGGAAGACCAGUGGCGAAGGCGAGGCUCUGGACAGUUCCUGACGCUGAGGCGCGAAGGCCAGGGGAGCAAACGGG